Nadsonia fulvescens var. elongata DSM 6958 is the source of this 73-nucleotide transfer RNA. It matches the Rfam family "tRNA". Rfam says of the family: Transfer RNA (tRNA) molecules are approximately 80 nucleotides in length. Their secondary structure includes four short double-helical elements and three loops (D, anti-codon, and T loops). Lineage: Eukaryota; Fungi; Ascomycota; Dipodascomycetes; Dipodascales. The record is from Rfam.
GCCUCUUUGGCCAAGUGGCUAAGGCGUCGCACUUGUAAUGCGAAGAUCACUGGUUCAAUUCCGGUAUGAGGCC